This is a long non-coding RNA of Hydra vulgaris (swiftwater hydra), 814 nucleotides long. RefSeq lists it as uncharacterized. The record is from RefSeq and is a predicted model, not a curated record. NCBI's taxonomy places the organism in Eukaryota, Metazoa, Cnidaria, Hydrozoa, Anthoathecata, Hydridae.
UUAUAAAAUUAAGAACAUUUAUCACCUUUAAGCCAUCAUAUUAUUCAACAAGGCAUAAUUGUUAAUUUAAAAAUACUAUAACCUAAUUGCGUCAUUAGUUUCCAAUACAAAAUCUUGUCUUUGUAAGCUCUCGAAUCAAAAACGUCACAAGCACCGGCGGUAAGUUAACCGUAUGGGAAUAGAAAAAACACCAGUUCGAGUGAACUUUGUUAUUUGAAAAGCUUACCAUUUUUUUAUUUCAAAAUUUUAUACUAAUGACGUUUUUGGCUUCUUUUCACAUGCAAUAAAUUAAGACGUUAAUCUUCUAAAAAAAGUUUCGCUUUCAGAACGGCUACUAAAACAAUGAGACAGGUUUGAAACCAAGUUACAAAGGAAAGAAUAAACUAUUUGGGUGAGGCUUUUAUUAAAGAAAAGGUUUUUAUCUUGAUGGUUUCACCUUGAACGUUUCACCUUGAACAAAGGACGAUGAUAAAAUGAACUUAGACGAAGCUAUUAGAGUUAUCUAAUUGAAUACCAUAUGAAAAAAUGUUUACAAAUAUAUUAACUUACAACGUGUAACUGGCUACACAUCAGUGCUGUUCAUGUUUAACCGAGAAAUGCAAUCAGAUCAUUUUAAAAAGUAUUGGCAGGCUGUACUUGACGACUUAUCUUCCUGCAACGAAAUGAAAAGAGCCUUUAACUACUAGCCAACUUAAAAUAAUUUUCAUAGCAGCAUUUUAUAAGAGGAAUUUUCCUUUUAUUUUAUUUACUAAUUAGAUUACUUAUUAUUUUUGGACAUUGUUUUAAAUUAUUAAAAUUAUUUUUGGACAUUUAG